UACGUAGGGAGCAAGCGUUGUCCGGAAUCAUUGGGCGUAAAGCGCGCGCAGGCGGCCCCGUAAGUCCGCUGUGAAAGUCAAAGGCUCAACCUUUGAAAGCCGGUGGAUACUGUGGGGCUAGAGUCCGGAAGAGGCGAGUGGAAUUCCUGGUGUAGCGGUGGAAUGCGCAGAUAUCAGGAGGAACACCGGUGGCGAAGGCGCCACUCUGGGCCGGAACUGACGCUGAGACGCGAAAGCGUGGGGAGCGAACAGG
This 253-nucleotide ribosomal RNA is filed under the name uncultured bacterium. Its description in RNAcentral is "partial 16S ribosomal RNA". It matches the Rfam family "Bacterial small subunit ribosomal RNA", at positions 524 to 776 of the family's 1533-position model. The record is from RNAcentral.